AAUGGUAAAGGUGAUGGAGCUCACCAUAAACAUUGCUGCGGCAAUUAAUGGCUCCUACUAAGGA
Geosporobacter ferrireducens is the source of this 64-nucleotide regulatory RNA element. It matches the Rfam family "Fluoride riboswitch aptamer (crcB RNA motif)". Lineage: Bacteria; Bacillati; Bacillota; Clostridia; Peptostreptococcales; Thermotaleaceae. The record is from Rfam.